CAUGGGUUUAUGUUAUAUUCCAUCUCUUGCACACUGGACUAGCCAGCUUUUUGUUGGCUUCAGCUUCAGGUUGGUGUGCAGGGGGUGGAAUACAUCAUUGAUAUCAUG
Gossypium raimondii (Peruvian cotton) is the source of this 108-nucleotide non-coding RNA. The record is from Rfam. NCBI's taxonomy places the organism in Eukaryota, Viridiplantae, Streptophyta, Magnoliopsida, Malvales, Malvaceae.